GACGAACGUUGGCGGCGUGCUUAACACAUGCAAGUCGAACGGAAAGGCCCUGCUUUUGUGGGGUGCUCGAGUGGCGAACGGGUGAGUAACACGUGAGUAACCUGCCCUUGACUUUGGGAUAACUUCAGGAAACUGGGGCUAAUACCGGAUAGGAGCUCCUGCUGCAUGGUGGGGGUUGGAAAGUUUCGGCGGUUAGGGAUGGACUCGCGGCUUAUCAGCUUGUUGGUGGGGUAGUGGCUUACCAAGGCUUUGACGGGUAGCCGGCCUGAGAGGGUGACCGGCCACAUUGGGACUGAGAUACGGCCCAGACUCCUACGGGAGGCAGCAGUGGGGAAUAUUGCACAAUGGGCGGAAGCCUGAUGCAGCAACGCCGCGUGCGGGAUGACGGCCUUCGGGUUGUAAACCGCUUUCGCCUGUGACGAAGCGUGAGUGACGGUAAUGGGUAAAGAAGCACCGGCUAACUACGUG
RNAcentral lists this ribosomal RNA (468 nucleotides) under uncultured bacterium. Its description in RNAcentral is "partial 16S ribosomal RNA". It matches the Rfam family "Bacterial small subunit ribosomal RNA", at positions 28 to 507 of the family's 1533-position model. The record is from RNAcentral.